RNAcentral lists this long non-coding RNA (230 nucleotides) under Homo sapiens (human). Its description in RNAcentral is "LNC_000204". Lineage: Eukaryota; Metazoa; Chordata; Mammalia; Primates; Hominidae. The record is from RNAcentral.
CAAUCAUCAGGCACAGGAGGAAGGGCUCUAGUAUAAUAGGAGAGGUUAGAGAAGGCUUCCCAGCUUUUGUAGCCAUAGUCAGCAUUGUAAGUUGGUGGACUGUCAAUCAAAUGUGAUCUGGAUGUCAACACAUAACUCAUAAUUGCAUUUCGAAGGAAGGGAAUGUUAUUCACAACGUUCCAAAAUCCCUUGAAGUGGGUAAGUAUGUAGUGCACUGUGUUUGGAGUGGG